This 382-nucleotide ribosomal RNA is filed under the name uncultured bacterium. RNAcentral describes it as "bacterial SSU rRNA". It matches the Rfam family "Bacterial small subunit ribosomal RNA", at positions 28 to 409 of the family's 1533-position model. The record is from RNAcentral.
GACGAACGCUGGCGGCGUGCUUAACACAUGCAAGUCGAGCGGUAAGGCCCUUUCGGGGGUACACGAGCGGCGAACGGGUGAGUAACACGUGGGUGACCUGCCCUCAGCUCUGGGAUAAGCCUGGGAAACCGGGUCUAAUACCGGAUAUGACUCCAUGACGCAUGUUGUGGGGUGGAAAGCCUUGUGCGGCUGAGGAUGGGCCCGCGGCCUAUCAGCUUGUUGGUGGGGUGAUGGCCUACCAAGGCGACGACGGGUAGCCGGCCUGAGAGGGCGACCGGCCACACUGGGACUGAGACACGGCCCAGACUCCUACGGGAGGCAGCAGGUGGGGAAUCUUGCGCAGGUGGGCGAAAGCCUGACGCAGCGACGCCGCGUGAGGGAU